UGGGGAAUAUUGGACAAUGGGCGCAAGCCUGAUCCAGCCAUGCCGCGUGAGUGAUGAAGGCCCUAGGGUUGUAAAGCUCUUUCACCGGUGAAGAUAAUGACGGUAACCGGAGAAGAAGCCCCGGCUAACUUCGUGCCAGCAGCCGCGGUAAUACGAAGGGGGCUAGCGUUGUUCGGAUUUACUGGGCGUAAAGCGCACGUAGGCGGACUUUUAAGUCAGGGGUGAAAUCCCGGGGCUCAACCCCGGAACUGCCUUGGAUACUGGAAGUCUUGAGUAUGGUAGAGGUGAGUGGAAUUCCGAGUGUAGAGGUCAAAUUCGUAGAUAUUCGGAGGAACAACAGUGGCGAAGGCGGCUCACUGGACCAUUACUGACGCUGAGGUGCGAAAGCGUGGGGAGCAAACAGG
This 404-nucleotide ribosomal RNA is filed under the name Actinomycetes bacterium. RNAcentral's name for it is "Actinobacteria bacterium partial 16S ribosomal RNA". It matches the Rfam family "Bacterial small subunit ribosomal RNA", at positions 355 to 776 of the family's 1533-position model. Lineage: Bacteria; Bacillati; Actinomycetota; Actinomycetes. The record is from RNAcentral.